Alexandromys fortis (reed vole) is the source of this 7580-nucleotide long non-coding RNA. RefSeq lists it as uncharacterized. The transcript has 9 exons. Lineage: Eukaryota; Metazoa; Chordata; Mammalia; Rodentia; Cricetidae. The record is from RefSeq and is a predicted model, not a curated record.
GGAACGGCCACCACGCGCUAGAGUCCGGCCCCGCCCGGCCCCGCCCGGCCCCGCCCGGCCCCGCCCUCCUCUCCUCGUGCUCCCACCCGCAGAGAUCGGCGCCCUGGUUGGGUCCCCCGGCCGCAGCACGCUGCUCCGCCGCCGCCUCCAGGCCGGAUCGCGAAGACGGCAGGCCUUGACUCUGAUCCAUUUUCCAGUCUUGCCUGAUCGGCCCCUUGAGCCAGGAGCCCUUCUCUUCGGCCGUCAGGGCUGCUAAAGAGUUACUGUCACGAAUUCAGAAGAGGUUCCAGAAGCCCCAGGAAAAGCUGAAGGCAUUGAAGGAGGCAGCCAGUGGCCUCCUUUCAAACCACAGCGAAGAACUGCAGGCGGCAGAGGAGCUCCUGACGGAAACUCAGACCAAGACCCAGGAGAGCAAUGGCCUGCUGCUCCUCAUCAAGGCCAGCCUAAGAGAGUUCGGCCCAACAACCCAAGUUUGGAAAAGCUGAUUCCUAUGAAAAACUGGAGAAACUAGGAGAAGGACCUUAUGCAGCAGUCUACAAAGGGAAAAGCGAGUAAGUUAAAUAUUUUAAAGAACAAGUCAAGGGAGAGAGAGAGGGCAGCUGAGGCCUAGGAGUUGGAAUGGCAGCAGGGGUCGCGCCUGGCUCCCACGCGCGCCAGGCCUUGGGCCAGAGGAGUUGCGGCUCUGCACCGCGCCUCGCCUCGGGCUGGGAACUUGUGCGCUGGUCUCCCGUGCCUCCUCCGUCGGGCGCCACCUCUGUUACAAAGGAGAGCAAAUGAGGCGGAGGCGGCAGAGGCCUCCCUGCUCCCGGCCUCCACCCAGGCCUAUGGCCCUCGCCUUGUCUGCGCUGCGUGCUGGACCAGUUUCGCGAAAUUGCCUGGGCCCCGCACACCCCAGAUGUGGGACCUCAUGGAGCCACAGCCAAGCAAGAAGAUCUGCAGGAUGAAGAACUUUGUCAGAGAGUUUCAGCAGCAUCGGAAGGACGUUUGUGAGGGGAGGUGCAAUAAUAGACGUACCGAGCUUGGAUGCCUAUGAACCACAGCAAUGACCAGCACGGGACGAUAUCUAGCUCCUCGGGAACUUCCUGAAAUGAGCUUUUCUAAGCUGAAACUAGGGCUGGAACUGGCAUCGUGGGUUGCAGCUGCUCUUGACUCACCAAAGCUGAGCCUUACUCACGGGGGCAUAGCUUCUCUUUCAGGGUCCUUCCUCUGAAGGGGUGGUGCCCCAUGGUGAUAAAACAGCACUAUACCCAGACUCCAGAUAUCUGCCUUCCUCCCAUCGUCCCCUUUCCUCAGAACCAGUUCUGGAGCACUGUAGAUCUCAGUCUCACAGCGCCCUUGCAGCACAGUGCCAGCUCCACACCUGGUGGCGAGGCCAGAGUCUCCCAGCUUUACGUUGCCCUCUGCAUCGAGCAGGAUGCUGUCUGGCUUCAGGUCUCGAUGGACAGUACCAUGGCCAUGUGCAGCACGUUACGGCUGAUGACACUAGCUGCCCGAACAUUUCCUGUGCCUUUUCCUCACGCAGCCUGCCCACUUCCAGUAUUUGCUUCCUCAGAUUCCCUCCCAGCGCAUACUCCAUCACUGUGAAAGUAUAAUUUUCUGUAUUUAAAAUCUGGAAGAGAGGUGCUGAGGAGCUCCAUCUGGACGGAACCUUCAUCUGGCUAUGGAUCGAGAUAGUGACAGAGACCCAAAUUGGAGCACCGGACUGAGCUCUUAAGAUCCAAAUGAGGAGCAGAAGGAGGGAGAACAUGAGCAAGGAAGUCAGGAACACGAGGGGUGCACCCACCCACUGUGACAGUGGAACUGAUCUAUUGGGAGCUCACCAAGGCCAGCGGGACUGGGACUGAAUAAGCAUGGGAUGAAACCGGACUUUCUGAACGUGGUAGACAAUUAAGGCUGAUGAGAAGCCAAGGACAUGGCACUAGGUUUCGAUCCUAAUACAUGAACUGGCUUUGAGGGAGCCCAGACUGUUUGGAUGCUCACCUUCCUGGCUUUGGCACAACUGUUUCUGGACAGGAGGCCUGCUUUCCCCCGGAAUAAGGGCCUAGACAGGCAACUUAAUGUGUUGGACACCAUCGACCAGGGUGGACUUGGCACUGUGGCACUGGCAUGCCCUCGCCGUGUUUGCAUGCUGGUGGCAAAUAAAAUGGUAGAAAUGAAAACGAACACCUUCCUCUAGUCAUGACUGAAGUGGCAGUCCUAAGAAAUGAUUAAACACCCCUACUUCAUUUGCCUCUUCCAGAUUUUAAAUACAGAAAAUUAUACUUUGAUAAUGAUGGAGUUUGCGCCGGGAGGAAAUCUGAGGGAGCAAAUACUGGAAGAAGGGCAGGCUGCAUGAGGGAAAAGGUGCAGAAAAUAUUCAGACUGCUAGUGUCACCUGUAGAGUGCCGCCCAUGGCCAUGGCAUUGCCAUCGAGACCGGAAGCCCCAGAACAUGCUGCUCGAUUAGAUGCAGAGGGCGAUGUGAAGCUGGGAGACUCUGGCCUCACCACCAGGUGUGCAGCUGGCACUGUGCAGCAAGGGCGCUGUGGGACUGAGAUCUACAAUGCUCCAGAACUGGUUCUGAGGAAAGGGGAUGAUGGGAGGAAGGCAGAUAUCUGGAGUCUGGGUAUAGUGGGCUGUUUUAUCACCACGGGGCACCACCCCUUCUGAGGAAGCACCCUGAAAGAGAUAUCCACCCUGAAAGAGAUAUUGAGAAGAAUAUAUCCAAAGGAAGGGAUUACUUCAUGCAGCACGCCGCUCCCGCCAGCAGAAGAGACGACCGCAACAGGAUUCUUCUCAGAACACACUUUAUUGGAGCACUUACACUUGAGGUUGUAGAGAGGCAAAAGACCCCGUCCCCGUGAAGCAGAAGAAUAUAUACGAUGCCAGACAAAGCCCUGACGUGUCAUCAACCCAAUGGCUCAGGCCAGAAUGGAGUGAUCGUGCCAGAUUAUGAUUGGCCAGAUUGGAUGGCCAGAUCGAAAGACUCCCCGCGCUGGGGGGAGCUCGCGCGCACGUGCACAAGUUGUCUGUCAAGUUUGACGUGGAACAGCAAAUGGCGCCCAGGCUCCGUGCCCACGACAUGACAGUGCCAUGGCGCAUGCUACAUCUCCACGCGCUAUAUCUCCGCGCGCUACAUCUCCCCCUUUUAUAUUUUAAAGCAGAAACCCGAUCUAGUUAGAGACCUCAUGAUGUCCCCAACGAUCAAGGGUCAGGGUGCGCUGUGCGCGUCAUGCUGUGUAUCCUCUCAUGUGCAAUGGCAGCAAGGCCUGUGAGGUGCAAGGACUACCAGCACGUUUUAAAAAACAGAGAAAAUAGGAUGUGCCUGUCCCAGUGCAAUGUCUGUAAUGACUUGGUGUGCAGAGGCCACAUCCAGUUAGAGGUCAUGCUUGAGGCUAGACAGCCAGACCUGAGGGGAGAUGCCAUGUUCGAGGGCGGCAAGGGCCUGGACUAUAAUUGCUUUGUCCCGAGCUUGCCGUGCACAAAAUCGGCGCAGAAGCCAAAGGCAGAGAAACACGCCGAGGCAACAUAUGGCACCGGCUACAUCACCGCGCGCUACAACAUCACAGCUUACAUAUUUAAAAGACUUGAUAAUCUCUUUAUUUCAAAUGCUCAGUGUUGCCCCAGAGAGGAGGCCCUCCAUUGAAGACCUUCAACAUCAUCCAUGGGUCAAGAACCCUGAAGGAAACAUCCCUAGUGAGCCCUUCCCAGAUCCUGUAUUUGUAAAAGAGCUCUUUUCCUAUGGAUUUGCUCUAAAAAGAUCAUAUACUCCUUAUAUAAAAGAGAAUAUAAUGAGAUCAUGAGGCCAUACCUAUUAGAACAGGAACAACAGGAGCUUGACCCCACCACCUCAGUCAAGGUGGGCAACCCUGGCGCUGCACCUCUACCAUCUCUGCUACCUGCUUUAACAUCUGGUCAUCACCUGAGAAGAAGAGCCAGUGAGCCCGCCCACAACUGGGCUUUUCCACACCCAGUCUUCAGAAGAGAAUAUACCUAAUGUCCUGACAUUAUCAGGGCCGAAGAUGACCAGGGGGCCCCCAUGCCUCUAUGUUGUCCACAGAAGAAGAGCCCCACUUUGAGCCAUGCCCCACUGACCAAGGCUGCAUCUGCCCCAUGUGUCUGCCACAGCAUGUUAACAGAAGAAAUGCCCCUGCUGCCUAGACCUGACCCUGACAUGGAGACAGCAUCUUCCACUCAGAACACCGGGUGCUGCUGGAGACUGAGCAGGGCAAUCAGGGCUAGCCUGUCAAGACUGUGUUGCUUCCUUGGGUCCCCAAAUACACAAACCCAGCCUGUGUUCAACACCAGAGUGGCUCCACUGAGAGAGGCAGGAGGAGAAACUCAGUAAGGGAUCUUUGAGUCCCUGAAUGGGGACCUUUCAGAUCCCUCUGGUUGGACUUGUUUGUUCCUCUUAAUUCUUUGAACAUUGGGGUAUGUGUGUGGGGUUAUGAACUCUUCCCCCCUGAACAUUCCCACAUUAUGCUCAGUUUUCAGAGCUGCCUUCCUCUUCAGUAAAGUGAUCCCUGCUGUUGAACUUGUGGGUCCCAGCUCUCUUCUCCAUAGAUGUGUGCAGGCAAACAGCCACUGAAACAGAGCAUUGAUCAGCUAGACUUCCCUGAUGCCAAGAGCCUGCACCAGACAGGACACCUGGAUCUGCAUCAGCUGUGUCUCUCACCAGCGAAGACCUCAUGAAUAUCUUUUAGCUUGGAGGACACAGUGUUCUCUGCUUCCAUCUUCAGUUACCUCGUCUUCUCUGAACAGCCACUGCCUGGUCCUAGGCCUCCUGAUGCACGUGGACCCCUGGCAGACCAUGGUCUCUGUGUGCAGGACAGGAGGCCAUCAUCGCUAGGUCAGACAUCAUCAUCUGCUUCGUCACCACCAUCUCUAAUCUGGAGGUGUGAACGAUGUUAGAAGUGAGAACGAAGAUUGCCGUCGGCGUUGCAUGCAGUAUGCUGGCUGUUGCGUUUGUGCUCACAAUUUUCAUAUUUUAUCUCGUCUUUAAAGCAGUCAAGAAAUUCAAAGCCUGUGCCGGUUCUCCCUGCCUCGGACAACCUUGUGAGCAUCUCGAAGAGUGGUCCCCGAUUCAGCAGGCAGAACCUUACACUGCAGGUAGACCACAUCGAAGCUUUUGAGGAAGCUGAAGGCGUUGAACUUGAACUGGGCCACAUUCUUUCCAGGGGUAUGGAGGUUGGAGUAGGAAUUGUCUUUGAUGCACCCAAUAAAGAAGAAAACCCAGACCUAAAAGGUUACUAACACAUGGCAUGAAUUUCCUUUAUCCCACGUAACCAGGUUGGCUUCUAAGGUUCCGAAUCCCAAAGAGAGUUCUUCCCACUCCCCUUGCCUUUAUGAGCAGCUACUACUACUAUACUACUAUGCUACUACUACUACCACCACCUACAGUUUUAACACCAUUGUUAAUGGAAACCCUAUACCUAGUCAUAAACAGAAGGGAGACAUUUAAAUACAGUAAAAACAAGUCAAGGUUUUAGCUGUAACCUUUGCCUUCUAGCUCUACCGUAUUUUGCCUAAAGGGCAGAUUAUAUCGUGGCUGUUACAUUUUAAAAUGCACCGAGAUUAUAUAAAAAAUUUAUAAUAGGCCUGAUAAUGCAAGUCAGUGGACGAGGGCUUGGUUACUUACCACCCCGAUGUUUUGAGUUCAGUUCCCAACACUACCCAAAGAAAGUGUCUUGUAAACUGUAGGGUGACAUACGUGGUAUAUUAAGAGGAGAUAAAGUGUUGUUAUGUAAAUGUAUAGUUCAAAAGAAUCAGAGAAGUUAGAAUAGGUAGGCACAGGGCAGGGAAAGAACAUAAGACAAAUAUAACAAAUGGUGGUGGAGUCUAAUCCAACUGCUUGGAUGAGAAUGUUAAGUAUGAACGGUUCAUAUUUACACCAAUGUGAAGACAGAGAAUAGGUUACAGGAGAAUCCACAAAUCCUCCAGCUACGUGCUCUUUACAAGACAGCCGCUGUCAGUGCACAGACACCGACACUGAGAUGGAGGGAGUGCAGCAUGGCAGCUGCUCCUUCGUUCAGAACAAACUUCAGAGCGCGCAGAACUGUCAGGGCCAAGAUGGGUGCUUGGUAACAACAAAAGAAAGGGUCAACCCUCUAGGAGCAGAUCCUUACCCGAGAUAAUCGAGGUAAGGAACAAUCUGUAUCCCAAUAUAAUAAUCAUUAAUAUAACACACCUGCAGGCAGAGUGUUAAAUAUGGGAAGCAAAGGGAACCGAAGUGAGAUGCUGACAAACCCACUGUAGUAACUGGAUGCUUCACUAUCCCUCUCUCAACCAUAGAUCCAAUGGGGAGGAAUGCAGUAAGGGAAUAAGGGACCCGAGGAACACUGUUGAUCUACUAGAUCUUGUUGACAUUAAUUAAACAGUCUAUCCAACCACAGUAAAAUGCACAUUCUUCUCAAUCCAGGUAGAAUAUUCAUUAGGACAGACCAUGUUCCAGCCCAUAAGAAAUACUUUAAUAGUCUUGAAAGGAUAGAAAGACAUUGUCAGGUAGCAAUGGAAUUAAACUUAAAAUUAAUGACAGCAAUCUUUCUGGGAAAUUCUCAAAUACGUGGAAGUAGACGGUAUAUUUUCAGGCAACUUUUGUAUCAGAAAUAUCCUAAGAGAAAUCUAGGACUGUUUUGAAAGAACUGAAAAUGGUGCCUGUGUUGUGAGUGAGAAGAGCCCACAGAGGCUCACUUUUAAAUGCUUGGACCCCAGUUGGUGGUUGGAGGAUGUGUGUCACUGGGGGUAGGCUUUGAGGUUUCAAAAGACUAGUACUGUUCCCUGUGUUCUCUGUCUGAAUCCUACUUCUGAAUUGGGAUGUAAGCACUCCACUUUUCCUGCCUCCGUCCCUUCACACUGCCAUCGUGGACCCUAACCCUCUAAAUCCAUAAGCCAAAUUAAACACUUUCUUUACAAGUUUCCUUGGUCACCAUGUUUUGUCACAGCCAUAGAAAAGUAAACAAUACAAUACCUAACUUACCAAAAUUUGUGGGAUCCUGCUAAGGUAACACUUGGGAGGAUUUAUAUAGUAUUAAAAUGCAUAUAAUUUGUAAAGAUGUCCAAUCAACCAAAGAUUUAAAGGCUAGAGAAAGAGGGACAAAUUAAGCCUAAAGUAAGAAGAAUAGUGUGCUGGUUGUAACGUUCUGACACCCAACUGAACUCACCCUUAAUAGUAUGACCAUAAGAGGAGUCAGAAGUCAGAUCCUCCUGAAUCAGGUGAUGAAAGGAGACAGAGACAGAGACCCACACUGGAGCACCGGACAGAAAUCUCAAGGUCCAAAUCAGGAGCAGAAGGAGAGAGAGCAUGAGCAAGGAACUCAGGACCGCGAGGGGUGCACCCACACACUGAGACAAUGGGGAUGAUCUAUAGGGAACUCACCAAGGCCAGCUGGCCUGGGUCUGAAAAAGCCUGGGAUAAAACCGGACUCGCUGAACAUAGAGGACAAUGAGGACUACUGAGAACUCAAGAACAAUGGCAAUGGGUUUUUGAUCCUACUGCACGUACUGGCUUUGUGGGAGCCUAGGCAGUUUGGAUGCUCACCUUACGAGACCUGGACGGAGGUGGGUGGUCCUUGGACUUCCCACAGGGCAGGGAACCCUGAUUGC